This 253-nucleotide ribosomal RNA is filed under the name uncultured bacterium. RNAcentral describes it as "partial 16S ribosomal RNA". It matches the Rfam family "Bacterial small subunit ribosomal RNA", at positions 524 to 776 of the family's 1533-position model. The record is from RNAcentral.
UACAGAGGGGGCAAGCGUUGUUCGGAAUUACUGGGCGUAAAGGGCGCGUAGGCGGCCUUCUAAGUCGAACGUGAAAUCCCCGGGCUCAACCCGGGAACUGCGUCCGAUACUGGAAGGCUUGAAUCCGGGAGAGGGAUGUGGAAUUCCAGGUGUAGCGGUGAAAUGCGUAGAUAUCGGGAGGAACACCCAUGGCGAAGGCAGCAAGCUGGGCGACACCUGACGCUGAGGCGCGAAAGCGUGGGUAGCAAACAGG